Molecule: ribosomal RNA, 460 nt
Filed under: uncultured bacterium
Lineage: Bacteria
Description: partial 16S ribosomal RNA
Rfam family: Bacterial small subunit ribosomal RNA
Source: RNAcentral
CCUACGGGUGGCAGCAGUGAGGAAUAUUGGUCAAUGGGCGGAAGCCUGAACCAGCCAAGUAGCGUGCAGGAUGACGGCCCUACGGGUUGUAAACUGCUUUUAUACGGGAAUAACGCGCCUUACGUGUAGGGCUUUGCAUGUACCGUAUGAAUAAGGACCGGCUAAUUCCGUGCCAGCAGCCGCGGUAAUACGGAAGGUCCGGGCGUUAUCCGGAUUUAUUGGGUUUAAAGGGAGCGUAGGCCGCAUGUCAAGCGUGCGGUGAAAUGUCCGGGCUCAACCCGGGCCUUGCAGCGCAAACUGGCGUGCUUGAGUGCGCGGAAAGCAGGCGGAAUUCGUGGUGUAGCGGUGAAAUGCUUAGAUAUGACGAAGAACACCGAUUGCGAAGGCAGCAUACCGGCGGCGAUCUGACGCUGAGGCACGAAAGCGUGGGUAUCGAACAGGAUUAGAUACCCUAGUAGUC